CGUAGGUGGCAAGCGUUGUCCGGAUUUACUGGGCGUAAAGCGCGCGCAGGCGGCUGGUCAAGUCCGAUGUGAAAGCUCCCGGCUUAACUGGGAAACGGCAUCGGAAACUGAUCGGCUUGAAGGUGGGAGAGGGUAGUGGAAUUCCCGGUGUAGUGGUGAAAUGCGUAGAUAUCGGGAGGAACACCAGUGGCGAAGGCGACUACCUGGCCCACUCUUGACGCUGAGGCGCGAAAGCUAGGGGAGCGAACGGGAUUAGAUACCUUGGUAGUCCUAGCCGUAAACGAUGAACACUAGGCGUAGUCGGUAUCGACCCCGGCUGUGCCGAAACCAACGCAUUAAGUGUUCCGCCUGGGGAGUACGGCCGCAAGGCUA
Molecule: ribosomal RNA, 372 nt
Filed under: uncultured organism
Description: bacterial SSU rRNA
Rfam family: Bacterial small subunit ribosomal RNA
Source: RNAcentral